GAUGAACGCUGGCGGCGUGCUUAACACAUGCAAGUCGAGCGGAAAGGCCCUGCUUUUGUUGGUUGCACGAGUGGCGAACGGGUGUGUAACACAUGAGGAACCUGCUCUUGUAAUUGGGAUAACUUCAGGAAACAGCGGCUAAUACCGCAUAGAAGCUACUGCUGCACGAUGGCGGCUGGAAAGAGUCGGCGUUUGUGGAUGGAUUCGAGGGCUAUCAGCUUGUUGGUGGGGUAGAGGCUUACAAAGGCUUUGACGGGUAGCCGGCCUGCGAGGGUGACCGGCUUCCAAGGGACUGGGAUAAGGGGCAGGAGCCAACGGGAGGCAACAGUGGGGAAAAUUGCAAAAGGGGCGGAAGUCUGAUACAGCAAAGCGACGAACGGGGUAACGACCUGCGGGAUGUAAACCACUGUCGCCUGUGGAGAAGUGAGAGUGACGGUAACGGAUAAGGAAGCCACGGCUAACUACGUG
Molecule: ribosomal RNA, 468 nt
Filed under: uncultured bacterium
Lineage: Bacteria
Description: partial 16S ribosomal RNA
Rfam family: Bacterial small subunit ribosomal RNA
Source: RNAcentral